UAGGCGGCGGCGGUGGAUCGGGACGAUGUGGUGGGCAGCGGGUGGAUCGGGGGAGUUGGGGAGAGGUACGGUAGUGGGGUAGGUGGGUUGGAUUUUUUAUUCAGUGCACCGUGAUUUAAAUAGUUAUUCUAAUUCUGGUAUUAGAAUAGUCCUACUCUCUCAGCACUAUUUUGAUCCUGGGAUCAGAAUAGUUAUUUGGAUCACGACGCGCGGCCGAACAGGUGUUCCUGAGAUCUAAAGGCAGCGCCAGACCGGCCCAUUAACACGUUCUCAGACGGCCUAAAAAUCCACCCACGACCUUCCUAUGCUCCCCCGUCCUCCUCCCGUGGCCUCGCCGCCGGCCUCCUCCCGUGGCCCCGCCGCCGGCCUCAUCCCGCGGAUGCGCCGCCGGCCUGCCGGGAUCGAGCAUGCCCCCAAGAUCGCCCCUGGCCUGGUUCUUCUGCCGUCCCCGUCCCCUUCCCCACCCCCGCCCCCCAGAUCGCGCCGCGCGCCGCCCCUGACCUCCGGCCGGAACCCCGCCCCUCCCCGCCGCCGAGGUCCGACCCCCAGGGGCCCAGCCAAGAUGGUCUGCCGCUGGCUAGGUCCGCCGCUACAGGAUCUCCCAACUGCUCCUCCCGGUGACGUCGCCCUCCACAUGCGCCUCCUCGCUGCUCCAACCCAGCCACGAGCACCAGAUCUUCAGAGUCAUGGCCUGCACGUGUGGGCAUGGGCACGUCGCAUGUUCAGGCUCCUUCUGAACUCCUCGCGUCUCCUUCGUCUUCGACCAACAACAGCGACCCCGUUUUAGUUCCUCUUUGAAACAGCAGCAGCCACGCUAGAAGUUCAGAAUUGCAGAUGGCGACGUCCAACUUCGGUUGUGGAUGCAUCGUCUCUUGUGGAAGAAGGGCAAGUCUGUAGACCUUGUAGAAGACAAGUGACUGAAAAUGGUAUUACAUGGUGCCGCCACCCUGGACCACCUGCUCCCGCGCAUGAGCAAGCAACCAAUGCGCCGAUGCCUAGCAGUGUACAAAUCUUCUGAUUUCUUGCAGCAGUUCAAUGUACUCCCUCCGUCCCAUAAUAUAAGAACGUUUUUGAUACCAGUGUAGUGUUAAAAAUGUUCUUAUAUUUUGGGACAGAGGGAGUAUAUUAGAGUAGAAAGAAGAAAAACAAUAGUAUGUUGCAGAUGUGGUGCUUGUGAUUGUUGUAGGCAUGCAACAGUUUAGAUUGUAGGGUCAAUGAAAAAU
Molecule: long non-coding RNA, 1223 nt
Organism: Triticum aestivum (bread wheat)
Lineage: Eukaryota; Viridiplantae; Streptophyta; Magnoliopsida; Poales; Poaceae
Exons: 2
Source: RefSeq, a predicted model, not a curated record